AACGAACGCUGGCGGCAUGCCUAACACAUGCAAGUCGAACGUGAUCCGGGGCUUGCUCCGGUGAAAGUGGCGGACGGGUGAGUAACGCGUGGGAACCUGCCCUUUGGUCGGGGAUAACUGCGGGAAACUGCGGCUAAUACCCGAUGUACCCGAGAGGGGAAAGAUUUAUCGCCGAAGGAUGGGCCCGCGUCGGAUUAGGUAGUUGGUGGGGUAACGGCCUACCAAGCCUUCGAUCCGUAGCUGGUCUGAGAGGAUGAUCAGCCACACUGGGACUGAGAUACGGCUCAGACUCCUACGGGAGGCAGCAGUGGGGAAUAUUGGACAAUGGGCGAAAGCCUGACGCAGCGACGCCGCGUGGGGGAUGAAGGUCUUCGGAUUGUAAACCCCUUUCGGGAGGGAAGAUGGAACGAGCAAUCGUUCGGACGGUACCUCCAGAAGCAGCCACGGCCAACUUCGUG
Molecule: ribosomal RNA, 458 nt
Filed under: uncultured bacterium
Lineage: Bacteria
Description: bacterial SSU rRNA
Rfam family: Bacterial small subunit ribosomal RNA
Source: RNAcentral